Molecule: unclassified non-coding RNA, 307 nt
Filed under: plant metagenome
Description: partial contains 5.8S ribosomal RNA, internal transcribed spacer 2, and large subunit ribosomal RNA
Rfam family: 5.8S ribosomal RNA (bases 1-105)
Source: RNAcentral
GAAAUGCGAUAAGUAGUGUGAAUAGCAGAAUUCAGUGAAUCAUCGAAUCUUUGAACGCACAUUGCGCCCUUUGGUAUUCCAAAGGGCAUGCCUGUUCGAGCGUCAUUUGUACCCUCAAGCUUUGCUUGGUGUUGGGCGUCUUGUCUCUAGCUUUGCUGGAGACUCGCCUUAAAGUAAUUGGCAGCCGGCCUACUGGUUUCGGAGCGCAGCACAAGUCGCACUCUCUAUCAGCAAAGGUCUAGCAUCCAUUAAGCCUUUUUUCAACUUUUGACCUCGGAUCAGGUAGGGAUACCCGCUGAACUUAAGC